Molecule: ribosomal RNA, 253 nt
Filed under: uncultured bacterium
Lineage: Bacteria
Description: partial 16S ribosomal RNA
Rfam family: Bacterial small subunit ribosomal RNA
Source: RNAcentral
UACGUAGGGUGCGAGCGUUAAUCGGAAUUACUGGGCGUAAAGCGUGCGCAGGCGGUUUUGUAAGCCAGAUGUGAAAUCCCCGGGCUUAACCUGGGAAUGGCAUUUGGGACUGCAAGGCUGGAGUGUGGCAGAGGAGACUGGAAUUCCUGGUGUAGCAGUGAAAUGCGUAGAGAUCAUGAGGAAGACCAGUGGCGAAGGCGGGUCUCUGGACAGUUCCUGACACUGAGACACGAAGGCCAGGGGAGCAAACGGG